Long non-coding RNA from Lagenorhynchus albirostris (white-beaked dolphin), 462 nucleotides. RefSeq lists it as uncharacterized. The record is from RefSeq and is a predicted model, not a curated record. Lineage: Eukaryota; Metazoa; Chordata; Mammalia; Artiodactyla; Delphinidae. The transcript has 3 exons.
UAAAGUGCACUGAAAGCGCCCGGCGUGAAGGAUGUGUUGCCUGGGUCCCCUCCUCAGGGAGCUGCCGGGCGAGGUGGAGGAUUCCCUCUGAAAGAUUAAAAACUCGGCAGUUGUCUUCUGCCACAGGCUGGGGAGGACCCGAGCAACUGCUCCAUUUGAACUGUGACGACGGGCAGGAGGAUGGGAGACGGGAAUUAAGAGUCACGGACGAAGGACAGGGGAGUCUGGCGUCUGCUUGGUCACCUUAAAGGAUUGCCAUUCAGUGUCAUUCAAGAUCUACUAAGCAUCAUUUUUGCAUGACUACGGCAAAAGGAUAUCUUUACAGAAGCAGUUCCUUUUUGAAGUUUAUAAUCUGGGCCCUGUUUUCAGACAGAAGAAAGAACUUCAUCAGAAAGCUUGAGCAAAUGUUUGGCAGAAACAUCCUAACUGUGCACGAUCAGGAAAUAUUUAUUUGAAUUGAAG